AUGAUUCCAUUCCUUCUGUCGGAUGUGCGGUUCUGUUCUGUUCCUUGUUUCCGGAAGUGGCGGCCGCCGCCGCAUCCCCCUCUCCCGGCCCCUGGGACCUGGCCCCCCCGAGAGGCGCCCGAGCUGCCUGUGGCCCGUGGCUGGCCGCUGGCACAGGUGCAGCCCCGUCUCACGGCACAGCGGCAGCACACCGUCCCCGCGGCGACCUGCACAGCAGCCCAGCAGAAGGAGAACAGGGCCCCCCAGCGCCCCCAGGCUCAGGCAGCCCCUGAGGACAGAGUCUGCGCCACUCAGAGGUCGUCCUCGCUCGCCAGCAGCCCCCUGCGGGACACCUGGAAGUUGCUGGACCUGGGUUCCAGUCCUUCCAGCCUCACCUCCCUGGAUGGCGCCACGGCAGGUAGGAGAGCGUCUGCCCAGGCUGCGCCGCGCGGCUCCGGGCUGACCCGGGAAGCGGGCGGCUGCCUUCCUCGGCCUCUGCGCGGUGUCCGGGUCCUGUGUCGCCCGGGGAGAGCCCCCGUCACAGCCUGCUGGGUCUCACAGGCUGUCUUGGUUCAGAAUGGGAUCCGUGCGAGAUCGAGGAGCGGCUGGGGUUGGAUACGGAUAGCCUGUGCCUCCAGGCCUGAGGAGGUCCUGGCCGUGUCCUGCUGUGCUGUCCACAGACCCGUGUGUCACUGGGUUACGUGUCUGGCACUCCAGCGCGUCCGGCUGGCACCCUGGGGUUUUCAGGAACACGUGUUGGAAGGGCCCGCCGUGCUGGCGGGAGGGUCGGUGGAGGGCAGCUGGGGACACACGUGUGAGUGCAGGUGCAGCAAUGGCCUUGGGUCUGUGUUGGUGCGUGGGGCGCCGCUGCCCUCAGUCACCCGCAGGGGACUGCAGGGGGGCACGGGCUCGCCUUGUGCAGCAAACCUCUUGUCGCGAGCAGCGUGGCGGGGAUGGCCUCUGGGGGCACCUGUCCAUCCUCCAUUUGUCCUUCGUCUGCAGGCCUCACUCUGGCUUCCCCUCGACGCGCUGUCCGCUUGUGUGCCUUGUCAGUGUGUAGGGACUCAGUAUAGACCAUGGACAUUAGGCCUUUUUAAGACAAAUUACAGGCUGGCGCCGCGGCUCACUAGGCUAAUCCUCCGCCUUGCGGCACCGGCACACCGGGUUCUAGUCCCGGUCGGGGCGCUAGAUUCUGUCCCGGUUGCCCCUCUUCCAGGCCAGCUCUCUGCUGUGGCCAGGGAGUGCAGUGGAGGAUGGCCCAAGUGCUUGGGCCCUGCACCCCAUGGGAGACCAGGAGAAGCACCUGGCUCCUGCCUUCAGAUCAGUGUGGUGUGUCGUCUGCAGCGCGCCAGCCGUGGCGGCCAUUGGAGGGUGAACCAACAGCAAAGGAAGACCUUUUUGUCUCUCUCUCUCACUGUCCACUCUGCCUGUCAAACAAACAAAAAAACAAAAAAACCCACAACUUUGUUCUUUUGGGUCUUUCUCAAAUUUCUCCAACACCCACGCAGGGCUUCAGAAUGCGAACUCAUUCAGGUGUCUCAGGGCCGGCCAUGGCAGCCAUUGGAGGGUGAACCAACGGCAAAGGAAGACCUUUCUCUCUGUCUCUCUCUCUCUUACUGUCCACUCUGUCAAAAAAAAAAAAAAGACAAUUACAAUGUUUUUGCUAAUUUUUUAAUCUUUUUACUUUUGUCUUGGUGUUUUUCUCAUGCAUAUGUGUUUUUUUUUUUUAAGAUUUAUUUGAAAAUCAGAGCAACAGAGAGGGAGAGACAGAGAGAGAGAGAGAGAGUGAGAGAGAGAUCUUCCAACUUCUGGUUCACUCCCCAAAUAGCCACAGUGGCCUGCGCUGGGCCAGGAGCUCCAUCCGGGUCUCCCACGCGGGUGCAGGGGCCCAAGGACCUGGGCCAUCACUGCUGCUUUCCCACGUACUUUCUGGAUCAGAAGCAGAGCAGUGGAUGCUGGCGUGGCAGGCUCUGGCCCCGUGCCUCUUCUCUACUUGACUGGCUGUUGGUAGAAAAUCCACGAGAGGGGCUGGCACUGUGGCACAGUGGCUUAAUGCCCUGGCCUGCCAUAUGGGCACCGGUUUGA
Molecule: long non-coding RNA, 2064 nt
Organism: Oryctolagus cuniculus (rabbit)
Lineage: Eukaryota; Metazoa; Chordata; Mammalia; Lagomorpha; Leporidae
Source: Ensembl